AGGACGAACGCUGGCGGCGUGCUUAACACAUGCAAGUCGAGCGGAAAGGCCCUUCGGGGUACUCGAGCGGCGAACGGGUGAGUAACACGUGAGUAAUCUGCCCCUAGCUCUGGGAUAGCUCCGGGAAACCGGGAUUAAUACCGGAUACGACCACUUUAGACAUCUGUUGUGGUGGAAAGAAUUUUGGCUAGGGAUGAGCUCGCGGCCUAUCAGCUUGUUGGUGGGGUAAUGGCCUACCAAGGCGACGACGGGUAGCCGGCCUGAGAGGGCGACCGGCCACGACCUGGGACUGAGACACGGCCCAGACUCCUACGGGAGGCAGCAGUGGGGAAUAUUGCGCAAUGGGCGAAAGCCUGACGCAGCGACGCCGCGUGGGGGGAUGAAGGCCUUCGGGUUGUAAACCCUUUCAGCAGGGACGAAGCGAAAGUGACGGUACCUGCAGAAGAAGCGCCGGCUAACUACGUGCCAGUAGCCGC
Molecule: ribosomal RNA, 476 nt
Filed under: uncultured bacterium
Lineage: Bacteria
Description: SSU rRNA
Rfam family: Bacterial small subunit ribosomal RNA
Source: RNAcentral